Molecule: ribosomal RNA, 466 nt
Filed under: uncultured bacterium
Lineage: Bacteria
Description: partial 16S ribosomal RNA
Rfam family: Bacterial small subunit ribosomal RNA
Source: RNAcentral
GACGAACGCUGGCGGCGUGCUUAACACAUGCAAGUCGAACGGAAAGGCCCCUUUCGGGGGUUCUCGAGUGGCGAACGGGUGAGUAACACGUGAGUAACCUGCUCUUGACUUUGGGAUAACUUCAGGAAAUUGGGGCUAAUACCGGAUAGGAGCUCCUGCUGCAUGGUGGGGGUUGGAAAGUUUCGGCGGUUGGGGAUGGACUCGCGGCUUAUCAGCUUGUUGGUGGGGUAGUGGCUUACCAAGGCUUUGACGGGUAGCCGGCCUGAGAGGGUGACCGGCCACAUUGGGACUGGGAUACGGCCCAGACUCCUACGGGAGGCAGAAGUGGGGAAUAUUGCACAAUGGGUGGGAGCCAGAUGCAGCAACGCCGUGUGCGGGAUGACGGCCUUCGGGUUGGAAACCGCUUUCGCUCAUGACGAAGCUUUGUGUGACGGUAGUGGGUAAAGAAGCACCGGCUAACUACGUG